RNAcentral lists this ribosomal RNA (497 nucleotides) under uncultured bacterium. RNAcentral describes it as "partial 16S ribosomal RNA". It matches the Rfam family "Bacterial small subunit ribosomal RNA", at positions 28 to 507 of the family's 1533-position model. The record is from RNAcentral.
GAUGAACGCUGGCGGCGUGCCUAAUACAUGCAAGUCGAGCGAACAGAUAAGGAGCUUGCUCCUUUGACGUUAGCGGCGGACGGGUGAGUAACACGUGGGUAACCUACCUAUAAGACUGGGAUAACUUCGGGAAACCGGAGCUAAUACCGGAUAACAUUUGGAACCGCAUGGUUCUAAAGUGAAAGAUGGUUUUGCUAUCACUUAUAGAUGGACCCGCGCCGUAUUAGCUAGUUGGUAAGGUAACGGCUUACCAAGGCGACGAUACGUAGCCGACCUGAGAGGGUGAUCGGCCACACUGGAACUGAGACACGGUCCAGACUCCUACGGGAGGCAGCAGUAGGGAAUCUUCCGCAAUGGGCGAAAGCCUGACGGAGCAACGCCGCGUGAGUGAUGAAGGGUUUCGGCUCGUAAAACUCUGUUAUUAGGGAAGAACAAACGUGUAAGUAACUGUGCACGUCUUGACGGUACCUAAACAGAAAGCCACGGCUAACUACGUG